This is a long non-coding RNA of Octopus sinensis (East Asian common octopus), 271 nucleotides long. RefSeq lists it as uncharacterized. The transcript is spliced from 3 exons. Lineage: Eukaryota; Metazoa; Mollusca; Cephalopoda; Octopoda; Octopodidae. The record is from RefSeq and is a predicted model, not a curated record.
AAAAGAUAACUAAGUGCAAGGGAAGAUUCCCUUCGCACAUGAAUGACCAUGGGCUUGCAUCUAGAAAGUUACCCUCCGAGGCACAAGUCCGGGCAAAGUUGUUUAUGGAAGACCAGCAGUCCCCCAUGAAUACCAGCCUUCCCACUCCAUGCUACCAAUGUUAUCCAAAGGAAAGGUAAAAGCCGAUGUAGUUUGGCACCAGUGACGUUGCAACUCAUUUCUACAGCUGAGUGAACUGGAGCAACGUGAAAUAAAGUGAUCUUGCUCAAGA